UGGGGAAUAUUGCACAAUGGGCGAAAGCCUGAUGCAGCAACGCCGCGUGAGUGAUGAAGGCCUUCGGGUUGUAAAGCUCUGUCUUUUGGGACGAUAAUGACGGUACCAAAGGAGGAAGCCACGGCUAACUACGUGCCAGCAGCCGCGGUAAUACGUAGGUGGCAAGCGUUGUCCGAAUUUACUGGGCGUAAAGGAUGCGUAGGCGGAUUUUUAAGUGAGAUGUGAAAUACCCGGGCUUAACUUGGGUGCUGCAUUUCAAACUGGGAAUCUAGAGUGCGGGAGAGGAGAAUGGAAUUUCCUAGUGUAGCGGUGAAAUGCGUAGAGAUUAGGAAGAACACCAGUGGCGAAGGCGAUUCUCUGGACCGUAACUGACGCUGAGGCAUGAAAGCGUGGGUAGCAAACAGGAUUAGAUACCCUGGUAGUCCACGCCGUAAACGAUGAGUACUAGGUGUAGGAGGUAUCGACCCCUUCUGUGCCGCAGUUAACACAAUAAGUACUCCGCCUGGGAAGUACGAUCGCAAGAUUUAAAACCUCAAAGGAAUUGACGGGGGUCAUAGCUG
RNAcentral lists this ribosomal RNA (560 nucleotides) under uncultured bacterium. RNAcentral's name for it is "partial 16S ribosomal RNA". It matches the Rfam family "Bacterial small subunit ribosomal RNA", at positions 355 to 928 of the family's 1533-position model. The record is from RNAcentral.